RNAcentral lists this long non-coding RNA (597 nucleotides) under Homo sapiens (human). RNAcentral's name for it is "HSALNT0392256". Lineage: Eukaryota; Metazoa; Chordata; Mammalia; Primates; Hominidae. The record is from RNAcentral.
GACAGAGCGAGACUCCGUCUCAAAAGAAAAAAAAAAGUCUCCAAAUCACAGGUAAACACAUAGAUACACACAAUUAGACAGAUGUACAACAUCAAAUCACAGGUAAACACAUAGAUACAAUUAGAUGUAUGACAUCAAUCACGUAAACACACAGAUACACACAAUUAGACAGAUGUAUGACAUCAAAUCACAGGUAAACACAUAGAUACACACAAUUAGAUGUAUGACAUCAAAUCACAGGUAAACACAUAGAUAACACACAGAUGUACAACAUCACAGGUAAACACAGAUACACACAAUUAGAUGUAUGACAUCAAAUCACAGGGAAACACAUAGAUACAAUUAGACAGAUGUACGACAUCAAAUCGCAGGUAAACACAUAGAUACACACAAUUAGACAGAUGUACGACAUCAAAUCGCAGGUAAACACAUAGAUACACACAAUUAGACAGAUGUAUGACAUCAAAUCGCAGGUAAACACAUAGAUACACACAAUUAGACAGAUGUACGACAUCAAAUCACAGGUAAACACACAGAUACACACAAUCAGACAGAUGUACGACAUCAAAUCACAGGGAAACACACAGAUACACACAA